RNAcentral lists this long non-coding RNA (1330 nucleotides) under Volvox carteri. RNAcentral describes it as "long non-coding RNA (VCAR_LNC001772)". Lineage: Eukaryota; Viridiplantae; Chlorophyta; Chlorophyceae; Chlamydomonadales; Volvocaceae. The record is from RNAcentral.
GAAAAUAUUAGAUAAAUGAAAUGAGAUUUUCCUUAUUAUCAUAAUAACAACAAUCCUGCUUUACAUGCUCCUAGGUUAACUACCUACAACCGUUAGUCAACAGCGUUCGUGCACGAGACUGCAUUCAUAACAAAUCUAAGCUUGAAUAGGAUAAUGUUGUUACUCUUCCACUCCCUGUCACUCUCAAUGCUUUAGCUUUCUGGGCUCAGAGUUACACCACGCAAUAGGAUGAUUUCUUUCCGAAUUUGUUAAGGACAUGUCAAGCUGUCGACAGCAGCGCGCCAAGGUGAUAACGUUGUGAUACCUCCAUAGCGCCUCUCCCUGUCACCACUUGCGGGCUGUCGUUGCCGGCUGUCGUUACAAAGCUUUCUGACCCGAACCGCCUUUGAAGCUUCCGCUAAAUCUUUAAAUGCCCAAGGUUCCGUAUUGAACUUUAUACAACCCUCCGUUGGCUCGUGGCUUCCGGCGCGUCAGCCAAUGAACGCCGUGAACAGCCAAUGAAAGCCGUGCAUAGCCAAUGGCCCGCCCAAGGCUCGCCCGUUUUGUAGCUUGGGCUAUGCGACGGCUAUGCCAACAAGGCGCAGCACAUUGCCUACUGAGGGCUCAUGCCUACCCCUUCCGCGAUUACUGGACAAGCACGCAAGGCCAUUGCCCUUAAGGCAUCUUCGCUCUGGUACCUACGUUUUUAAUUAUUGGCGGUGGACUUUGAAAUUCCUUAGUUUUCAUGGGCUACGGUACUUGGGUCACAACAUUUCGGACUAGGGUGACUGCAUUUUGUUUGAACCCAUCUACCACCCCAUCUACCAAGCCUAUAUGUGUGCGAUAGCACUCAUCACGCUGCUUGUCAGCACUUAUACGAAAAGGUACUGCACAUUGAAAUUUGCUAACUGCAUGGGGGUUGGGUGGUUUUCGGCAAGACCCAAGCCCAUAACACCCUGUAAGCAAGGAACAUGAAGAGGCCAAACGGCAUUUUUGGCGGCAACACUUAAAUGUUGGACCUUUCUUAACAGCUUGGGUGUAGGGCCCCCGGCUGAUUUGCGCGGGGAUGAUUGGUGGCGCAUUACGCUACUCUCAAGCUGCCUGUGGGAAAACCCUGAGAGGGAUUUUGCGACAAGGCUGGAUGCACGUUGGACGUGCGAGAACACCUAUAGGGUGGUGAACCCAGGGCCUUCCCCACCACCGGGGCCUUACCAGCGAGUGUGGCAAGCCCUGCUGCUGCUGGUGACCCGACGGGUCCAUAACGAUGACCCACAUGCAUAAGUGGUGUUCGAGGUGACUGCUGCUGCUGCUGCUGCUGCUGCUGCUGGUAUAGCUGCUGGUGUUGGUGCUG